UACAUGUGGGGCAAGCGUUGUUCGGAAUUACUGGGCAUAAAGGGUGCGUAGGCGGCUUGUUAGGUCACUGGUGAAAGUUUUCGGCCCAACCGGAAAAUUGCCUGUGAUACCGGCGGGCUUGAGUGCGUGAGGGGUGGGGGGAACGAGCAGUGUAGCGGUGAAAUGCGUAGAUAUUGCUCGGAAGGCCGGAGCCGAAGGGGCCCCACUGGUACGUAACUGACGCUGAGGCGCGAAAGCGUGGGGAGCAAACAGG
This 253-nucleotide ribosomal RNA is filed under the name uncultured bacterium. RNAcentral describes it as "partial 16S ribosomal RNA". It matches the Rfam family "Bacterial small subunit ribosomal RNA", at positions 524 to 776 of the family's 1533-position model. The record is from RNAcentral.